ACGGGUGAGUAACGCGUGGGAAUCUACCGUGCCCUGCGGAAUAGCUCCGGGAAACUGGAAUUAAUACCGCAUACGCCCUACGGGGGAAAGAUUUAUCGGGGUAUGAUGAGCCCGCGUUGGAUUAGCUAGUUGGUGGGGUAAAGGCCUACCAAGGCGACGAUCCAUAGCUGGUCUGAGAGGAUGAUCAGCCACAUUGGGACUGAGACACGGCCCAAACUCCUACGGGAGGCAGCAGUGGGGAAUAUUGGACAAUGGGCGCGAGCCUGAUCCAGCCAUGCCGCGUGAGUGAUGAAGGCCUUAGGGUUGUAAAGCUCUUUCACCGGAGAAGAUAAUGACGGUAUCCGGAGAAGAAGCCCCGGCUAACCUCGUGCCAGCAGCCGCGGUAAUACGAAGGGGGCUAGCGUUGUUCGGAAUUACUGGGCGUAAAGCGCACGUAGGCGGAUAUUUAGGUCAGGGGUGAAAUCCCAGAGCUCAACUCUGGAACUGCCUUUGAUACUGGGUAUCUUGAGUAUGGAAGAGGUAAGUGGAAUUCCGAGUGUAGAGGUGAAAUUCGUAGA
This 557-nucleotide ribosomal RNA is filed under the name uncultured bacterium. RNAcentral describes it as "bacterial SSU rRNA". It matches the Rfam family "Bacterial small subunit ribosomal RNA", at positions 102 to 694 of the family's 1533-position model. The record is from RNAcentral.